CCUUGACAUACUAAGAACUUUCCAGAGAUGGAUUGGUGCCUUCGGGAACUUAGAUACAGGUGCUGCAUGGCUGUCGUCAGCUCGUGUCGUGAGAUGUUGGGUUAAGUCCCGCAACGAGCGCAACCUUUUCCUUAUUUGCCAGCGGGUCAUGCCGGGAACUUUAAGGAUACUGCCAGUGACAAACUGGAGGAAGGCGGGGACGACGUCAAGUCAUCAUGGCCCUUACGGCCAGGGCUACACACGUGCUACAAUGGUCGGUACAAAGGGUUGCUACCUCGCGAGAGGAUGCUAAUCUCAAAAAGCCGAUCGUAGUCCGGAUCGCAGUCUGCAACUCGACUGCGUGAAGUCGGAAUCGCUAGUAAUCGCGGAUCAGAAUGCCGCGGUGAAUACGUUCCCGGGCCUUGUACACACCGCCCGUCACACCAUGGGAGUUUGUUGCACCAGAAGUAGGUAGUCUAACCGCAAGGAGGACGCUUACCACGGUGUGGCCGAUGACUGGGGUGAAGUCGUAACAAGGUAAGCGUAGAUGA
Molecule: ribosomal RNA, 530 nt
Filed under: uncultured bacterium
Lineage: Bacteria
Description: bacterial SSU rRNA
Rfam family: Bacterial small subunit ribosomal RNA
Source: RNAcentral